RNAcentral lists this long non-coding RNA (350 nucleotides) under Cicer arietinum (chickpea). Its description in RNAcentral is "long non-coding RNA (CARI_LNC002165)". The record is from RNAcentral. Lineage: Eukaryota; Viridiplantae; Streptophyta; Magnoliopsida; Fabales; Fabaceae.
AAAACAACAGUUAAGUUUUGUGAAAUCAAGGUGGCAUUGUAAUUUUGUUGAACCCCUAAAGUGUAGUUUUUGCUAAAAUCAGUGUUACACUGUGAUUUUGCCAACUUAUUGUCAAUCAAGACAUGCACCAGAGCUAGUGAACGUCAUUGUUUAUGAUCCCUCUAUCAGAGCAUAGUUUGGCUGUAAUUAUAUGGUUUAUUACCUUCAAUCGGGUAAACCAAAGGAAACAUAUAGUGAAAGUGAAUGAGAACAAAUCUUUGCACAAGUGGUCUUGAAAAUUGUACAAUAUAGUCUACCCUCGUGUUGAUUCGCAUACUAUAUUUUACUGAAAUUUGUUGGAAAUGAUGAAA